RNAcentral lists this non-coding RNA (163 nucleotides) under Ruminococcus flavefaciens. RNAcentral's name for it is "Lysine riboswitch". It matches the Rfam family "Lysine riboswitch aptamer". Rfam says of the family: Riboswitches are metabolite binding domains within certain messenger RNAs that serve as precision sensors for their corresponding targets. Allosteric rearrangement of mRNA structure is mediated by ligand binding, and this results in modulation of gene expression. This family includes riboswitches that sense lysine in a number of genes involved in lysine metabolism, including lysC. The record is from RNAcentral. Lineage: Bacteria; Bacillati; Bacillota; Clostridia; Eubacteriales; Oscillospiraceae.
AAGGUAGAGGCGCGGCUGCGAAAAGUACCUGUUCACGGGACGACCCGUCCGAUGGUGGACAGCGAAAGGCAAUGCCGCCGAAGAGCUGUCUUUGGUAAAUUCAGCUCUGGCUGUAUGUCAAACAGGUAUGCAGCUGUCAUCAUGUGUGAUGGAGAGCUAUCGG